GCCUCUGUAACUCAGUUGGUUACAGCGCUGCACCGGAAUCGCAGGGCCGUAGGUUCAAUUCCUACCAGAGGAC
This 73-nucleotide transfer RNA is filed under the name Paramuricea clavata. It matches the Rfam family "tRNA". Rfam says of the family: Transfer RNA (tRNA) molecules are approximately 80 nucleotides in length. The record is from Rfam by way of RNAcentral. Lineage: Eukaryota; Metazoa; Cnidaria; Anthozoa; Malacalcyonacea; Plexauridae.